Strongylocentrotus purpuratus (purple sea urchin) is the source of this 300-nucleotide long non-coding RNA. RefSeq lists it as uncharacterized. The transcript has 3 exons. The record is from RefSeq and is a predicted model, not a curated record. NCBI's taxonomy places the organism in Eukaryota, Metazoa, Echinodermata, Echinoidea, Camarodonta, Strongylocentrotidae.
AAAAAAUAAGCGCGGAGCGGAUGGGCGGAUGAUUAUAUUUCCGUUGAUAUGCAGGCAUUCCAACAGAAGUAGAAUCUUAUUCCAAACAAAAGAAACUUGAAGAGAUCUCUACGAACUGCGAAGCUCUGCAGACAUAAUCCAACCACUAUGAUUAUAAACACUCAGAUUGCAGAAUUCUACCGACGAACCUUUGACAAUGUGCUUUCGAGUGAAGAUGUUCAGAGUGGAAUCAUAUUUGCUUUAUAUAUUUUACACCUGGAGUAUUUGGACACUGACUUCGACAUCUGCAAAAUGCACCAG